AUGGAAAAACACAACAUUGCACAGAAACAACUAUCGGACAGUCUGGUGGGUGUUCAGCCAGUUCUUGUCAGAAUGGUUGCAAUCAAAAGUACAAGAAUGUGUGUCAUCCAAAUGAUGAGUGCAUAUGGAAGGCCAAUUGUGUUGGAACGACCUGCAAGUGCACUGUGUGCACAUUUAGCUCCUUCCCCAUGCAAGCCUCCAAAAAGGGGAACAAUGACGCUAACUAGUAACUCAUUUAAUUUUUAUUUUUACGUCAAAAAUAGUCAGAAUAAUUAUUAUAUAAAUAUAGUCGCAAGACAUUCACCCGAAAGUGAUGUAUAA
Molecule: ribosomal RNA, 321 nt
Filed under: Triticum aestivum (bread wheat)
Lineage: Eukaryota; Viridiplantae; Streptophyta; Magnoliopsida; Poales; Poaceae
Description: partial small subunit ribosomal RNA
Source: RNAcentral